GGAAAUUUGAAGCAUAUCUACGUGGACAAAAAUAGCUCAGGGUUUGUGUAUUUGCGAUUUGAGAUUACACAAUCUGCUAUAAAUGCACAACGUGCACUUCACGGAAGAUGGUUUGCAGGCAAGAUGAUCACUGCAACAUUCAUGGUGCCCCAGACGUACGAGGCUAAAUUCCCGGAUAGCAGAUAGGGGUAAGACUUUGCAUGUCCAAAAAAUCUUGUCUAUGUUAAUUCUGGCAUCAUUGUAUUGCAAGGAUGUGAUGUUUACAUUGGAUGAAGUAGGAUUGCCAUUUUGAUACAAAGUAGAAGUAGUCAGCUUAUGUUGUGUUCUCAUUUGUAAUUUUGUUUACUGAAGUGGGAUGUGUCGGAACAUAAAUUGUGAAAUUGUGAUCGACUUUUCAUGUGGAUUAUUUAGGAGGUACUCUAAAA
This 425-nucleotide unclassified non-coding RNA is filed under the name Hevea brasiliensis (rubber tree). Lineage: Eukaryota; Viridiplantae; Streptophyta; Magnoliopsida; Malpighiales; Euphorbiaceae. The record is from RNAcentral.